RNAcentral lists this unclassified non-coding RNA (371 nucleotides) under soil metagenome. RNAcentral's name for it is "partial contains 5.8S ribosomal RNA, internal transcribed spacer 2, and large subunit ribosomal RNA". The stretch from base 1 to 120 matches the Rfam family "5.8S ribosomal RNA", at positions 35 to 154 of the family's 154-position model. The record is from RNAcentral.
GAUGAAGAACGUAGCGAAAUGCGAUAAGUAGUGUGAAUUGCAGAAUUCAGUGAAUCAUCGAAUCUUUGAACGCACAUUGCGCCCCUUGGUAUCCCGAAGGGCAUGCCUGUUCGAGCGUCAUUAUCACCCCUCAAGCCCUCGGCUUGGUGUUGGACGGUUUGGUGGAGGCCCCCUCGGGGGCUCCUGCCCCUCCCAAAGACAAUGACGGCGGCCUCGUUGGACCCCCGGUACACUGAGUUCUUCACGGGACACGUAUCGGACACAUGGGUUUACGGGACACGGUCUGCCUCCCCUCAGGGAGAAUCUUUCUAAGGUUGACCUCGGAUCAGGUAGGGAUACCCGCUGAACUUAAGCAUAUCAAUAAGCGGAGG